UAAUACGAAGGGUGCAAGCGUUAAUCGGAAUUACUGGGCGUAAAGCGUGCGUAGGCGGUUCGUUAAGUCUGUCGUGAAAGCCCUGGGCUCAACCUGGGAAUGGCGAUGGAUACUGGCGAGCUAGAGUCAGGUAGAGGGUGGCGGAAUUCCCGGUGUAGCGGUGAAAUGCGUAGAGAUCGGGAGGAACAUCUGUGGCGAAGGCGGCCACCUGGACCAUGACUGACGCUGAGGCACGAAAGCGUGGGGAGCAAACAGG
This 256-nucleotide ribosomal RNA is filed under the name uncultured bacterium. RNAcentral describes it as "partial 16S ribosomal RNA". It matches the Rfam family "Bacterial small subunit ribosomal RNA", at positions 521 to 776 of the family's 1533-position model. The record is from RNAcentral.